UACGGGGGGGGUAAGCGUUGUUCGGAAUUACUGGGCGUAAAGGGCUCGUAGGCGGCCAACUAAGUCAUACGUGAAAUCCCUCAGCUUAACUGGGGAACUGCGUGUGAUACUGGAUGGCUUGGAUUUGGGAGAGGGAUGCGGAAUUCCAGGUGUAGCGGUGAAAUGCGUAGAUAUCUGGAGGAACACCGGUGGCGAAGGCGGCAUCCUGGACCAAUAUUGAUGCUGAGGCGCGAAAGCCAGGGGAGCGAACGGG
RNAcentral lists this ribosomal RNA (253 nucleotides) under uncultured bacterium. RNAcentral describes it as "partial 16S ribosomal RNA". It matches the Rfam family "Bacterial small subunit ribosomal RNA", at positions 524 to 776 of the family's 1533-position model. The record is from RNAcentral.